GCUUCCUGGAGGAAGAGCCGGCUGCGAGGUUGGCAUAGGAGAGCCGCCAGGACAGCAACUUCAGACUACAACCCGGGAGCGCCGGGGCACCCUUCUGCGCUCUUUCCCGAGCGUGUUGUAAAUUGGCAUGAUUUCAAGGAAAAAGGAUUUUAUUCUAAUUGCAUAGGCAAGAACUUUUACAUCUGUUACUGCCAAAUCUUCCUCUACUCUGUGAAAUGAAGAACUACCUAUGGGAAAAGACCUUCGCAAACGCAGAAGAAACAAUGAAGAAAGAAAAUGUGAAAGAACACAGCCCUUCUGAUGAGACUCUGCCAAAGUCCUUCCACAUUGGCUUUGUCAAGUUCACACAUGAAUGGUGUGAGGAGACAAGAAAAACAUCACCAGCCUGCAGCACCUUCAUCAGCGUCCCCCAGCAGUUAGAGUUUCUCACUGGCCUCCUUCUCAGCUUUUGUAGCUCAAAGCAAACAGACAAACAAAAAAAUCUUGUGUGUGUGUGUGUGAUUUUAACAUAGAUUUUGCUAAAAAUAAGCUAUUGUUGUGCUAUGAAAUGUGACUGGUGUACUAGAAUCUCAAAAAAAAACCUGAGCUCUCAGUAUUUUAAAGUGUUCCCCGAUUUGAUACUUGUAUAAAAUGAACACGAUAGCAGUAAACUUACAUGCUGAAGUGGAACCUGCCUGUGGUUGAACCCAGGAAAGCUGGGAAAUCUCCUGCUCUUGGUUAAUACAAAAGGGAAAUUUGGGGGAGGGCUCCAAGUCCUGCAGGUAUCCUCACUACAAAGAGGACAGUUUGCUUUGUCCCCCACACUACCA
Molecule: long non-coding RNA, 809 nt
Organism: Athene cunicularia (burrowing owl)
Lineage: Eukaryota; Metazoa; Chordata; Aves; Strigiformes; Strigidae
Exons: 4
Source: RefSeq, a predicted model, not a curated record